GAGCUGAAGAAAUCUCAUCAUUUUGACCUAAACGUCACUCAAUGUUACAUGAAAGCAGCAGCGGCGGCUUUACCGUCAUCGUUGUCGUCACAUGCACCUUCACAACAAACAGCUGCUUUGUUCAUGCUAUAAUAUUCCAGGGAUGAAUAUAUUUGCAUUGCUAUCAGUGUUUAGAAUCAGUUUUGCCGUGCCUCUUCUGAUGCAAAGACUAUUCAGUUAAGCAAAGCAGAGCGGGUCAUCACUCUGGUCUGUGUGUCAGAGGCAAUCCAGAUAUUAAUGACAUUAAUUUCUCAGACUGUUCUUAACGGUUGUGAAUCCAGUCUGUUCUAGUAGAGAAUGGUUAUCAUUUAUCUCAUGCUUGGUUAUCUCCUCUCUGAUACUUAUGCGAAAUGUGAAAACAGCACUUUGUGUAAUGAUGAAGUGUUCAUCAGCAGCGAGCCAUCCAGCCCAAAUGAGGGUGACGACGUCACUCUCACAUGCAAUGAAAAAUGUGAAAAUUCAACUGUGACUUUUCAGUGGAAGAAAAAUAAGGCGGUCAAAGAAAAAGAAAAUAAUAAGACCUUUCUUAUCCAAAGUGCCCUUUCAAUUUCUGACAUAUACAUCUGCUCAGUAAAGUGCUCCCGUUACUGUUGUGAUUCUAAACCAUACACACUGUCUGUAAAAAGUAAGUCCAUCCAUCUGUAUACUUCUGUUAUAUGUUAUGAUUUUAGAAAUGUGUAUAAUGGCAUGCUAUCAACAGCCCUUGAUACCAUGUGUCUUCACUUCCUGUGUAUUUGUCUAUGUGUGUGUCAUUGUCCAGACAACACUGUGAUCAUCUUGGUGGUCUGUGGUGUUGCAGCUUUGGCCCUUGUUUUGAUUAUGGGACUGAUUAUGAAGUGUAAGCUGAAAAGAGACAGUGGUAAGAGCUCAUUUUAAGAUGUCUGUGGUAUUAGACAACAAUAAGAAAGAAAGAAAGAAAGAAAGAAAGAAAGAAAGAAAGAAAGAAAGAAAGAAAGAAAGAAAGAAGUUUUUCUAGUUUUAACUAACUUAACUAUCAUGAUAUGACUAUCAAUAAAAUACAACAAAUUUUGAUGCUUAUUAUGAAUGUCUGGGUGAAAACAGGCUGUUUUUGCCGCAUUACAAGUAAUUGUGCGAGGCUAAGCUAACAGGCUGGUGCCUUCAGUUACAACUUUGAACAAUAUCGUUGAUGAUCUUGAAUCUAUCUACACAUCAGAACUCAGAAUGACACAUCUGACUGAUUUGAAUGCUCUCUCUCUGCAGAUAAACACAGGGAGAGGGUGAGACAGAGACAGGCUGGACAGGCUGCUGGUGGGCCAUAUCCUGUCACACCCAGAGAGUCCUAAAAAGAAAACAUUCUAUCAUAUUUUGAUAUAAUAAAUUCUGAUCUUAUGCAACAUAAUAUAUAUUUAUCUUUUUGAUAUUUCAGACUUUUGAAUGCUCACAAAUUGAAUAAAUACUCUUUAAUCUCUGUUUUUGAGUGCAUGUGUGCGUGUUUAAUCAGUUAAAGUCACACUUUUCCACAAUGUAGCGUUGCAUUUCUGUUAGUUUGCUCAGUUUAAAAAAAAAAGAACCUAGAAAUGUUUUAAUCCACACACAGGAUUGGCAUGCUCGCACUAAUCCUGCUGAAUGCUCCACUCACAGUGGCACACACUGCUCAGCUUUACAGUGGCUUGCAUGUAAUGGAUAUAUGGGAGUGUAAUGCUGUCUACUCCUAUCCAUGAGAGGGAUGAAUGUGGGAUUUGAAGAUUGACUUAUGAACAUAGUAAUAGCGUUAGGUGCCUCGAUUCAAUGUCAGGAUGCAAUGAUUUGAAGUUUAAGUGUUAAGCUCGG
Long non-coding RNA from Astatotilapia calliptera (eastern happy), 1830 nucleotides. The record is from Ensembl. NCBI's taxonomy places the organism in Eukaryota, Metazoa, Chordata, Actinopteri, Cichliformes, Cichlidae.